GUCCAGCAUGGCUCAGUCGCUAUGGCAUAAGACCCUUAAUCUCAGGGUUGUGUGUUUGAGCCCCACGUUGGGCA
Molecule: non-coding RNA, 74 nt
Organism: Podarcis lilfordi (Lilford's wall lizard)
Lineage: Eukaryota; Metazoa; Chordata; Lepidosauria; Squamata; Lacertidae
Source: the annotation of a GenBank genome assembly